RNAcentral lists this ribosomal RNA (193 nucleotides) under uncultured rumen bacterium. RNAcentral's name for it is "partial 16S ribosomal RNA". It matches the Rfam family "Bacterial small subunit ribosomal RNA", at positions 340 to 524 of the family's 1533-position model. The record is from RNAcentral.
UACGGGAGGCAGCAGUGGGGAAUAUUGGGCAAUGGGGGGAACCCUGACCGAGCAACGCCGCGUGAGUGAAGAAGGUUUUCGGAUCGUAAAGCUCUGUUGUAAGAGAAGAACGUGUGUGAGAGUGGAAAGUUCACACAGUGACGGUAGCUUACCAGAAAGGGACGGCUAACUACGUGCCAGCAGCCGCGGUAAU